Non-coding RNA from Dermacentor andersoni, 533 nucleotides. NCBI's taxonomy places the organism in Eukaryota, Metazoa, Arthropoda, Arachnida, Ixodida, Ixodidae. The record is from RefSeq and is a predicted model, not a curated record.
CUCUCAUUUUGUAAAGUUCAUCACAUGUGCAUUUGCAACACAUUGGCGGAGGCAAUACGAACUGCAUUUCUCGCUAGCUGGACAAGUCGGAAUGGCAAUGCAUCUUGGAGAACAAGACUCGAAUUGUGAAAGUCUGGUGGUUUUCGCCAAGUUUCACAGAACUUUGUUUUAUGUCAAGAUGGGCUAACACCAUGUCACCUGAUGCUGUCACUCUCUGGUUGGACUGGCAUUUCACGACCUUCGGGAUCAGCCCACAUAUGGGGAGUGCCUAAUGCCUGCUUCACUUCUGCCUCGGGUCCGCCUGAUAUUGCACUAUCUUCAGGAUCGGCCCACCGUAUGAAAAAUUGUUGGUCUAUGCGCGGAUGCGAUCCGGCAGAUCCUAGCCAUAGACAGCUUUGCUGUAAAAAAAGGUGGUCUAGCUCACGGCAAAUAGAGUCGAACAUAUUAAAAUGCGAAUAAAAAGAGAUGUUGUUAGGAACGGCCGUACGGGGUGGCAACGUUCCAGCUAUUUCAGCCCGCUGCACGUGUUCCAA